RNAcentral lists this ribosomal RNA (455 nucleotides) under uncultured bacterium. RNAcentral's name for it is "bacterial SSU rRNA". It matches the Rfam family "Bacterial small subunit ribosomal RNA", at positions 340 to 786 of the family's 1533-position model. The record is from RNAcentral.
UACGGGAGCAGCAGGGGGAAUAUUGCACAAUGGGCGAAAGCCUGAUGCAGCUAUGCCGCGUGUAUGAAGAAGGCCUUAGGGUUGUAAAGUACUUUCAUCGGGGAGGAAAAACAAAACUAAUAAUUUUAUUUCUUGACGUUACCCGAAAAAGAAGCACCGGCUAACUCCGUGCCAGCAGCCGCGGUAAUACGGAGGGUGCUAGCGUUAAUCAGAAUUACUGGGCGUAAAGAGCACGUAGGUGGUUUUUUUAAAGUCAGAUGUGAAAUCCCUGGGCUUAACCUAGGAACUGCAUUUUGAAACUGAAAUACUAGAGUAUCGUAGAGGGAGGUAGAAUUCUAGGUGUAGCGGUGAAAUGCGUAGAUAUCUGGAGGAAUACCUGUGGCGAAAGCGGCCUCCUAAACGAAUACUGACACUGAGGGUGCGAAAGCGUGGGGAGCAAACAGGGAUUAGAUACC